UUAGGUACAUCAGGAACUUAAAAGAUAUUGAUUGUUUUAGGAAUUUAGAAUGCAAGAACCAAAGAAGAGUGCAUAAAGACCAAGUUUCCCAUUUUUCAACACAAGGUAGUAAAUAUCAAAAUACACAUGCACAAGAUGAAACAUUGAGAUUUCACAUAAUCAGCUAUUGAAACAAAAAUAAAGAGGUUUGUGAUUUAAGACUAAGAGCCCAUUAAAGAGGUAUUCUACUGUUUAUUGCUGGAGCCUCUACUCUUUUAGAAAGAGCAACAGGUACUUCAUGGACUGGCUUCUUAGUUACUUCGGGCCCUUUAAAGAUAGUGUUUUUAUUUUUGAGAAGUAACAUAUGUAAAGAAUCAACGUAAAAUACACAAACACAAAGCGGGGGGGGGGAAUGACAUAGCACAAACAUGGUUGCAACAGAGUCAUAAAUGGGGAAUGCAAAUGACACACCACACAAAGCAAACGUUUAUGUUGAACAUCCUGUGUGGACAGCAUCACAGUUCAACAUCAUUACAACAAACACAUUCCUGUUUUGGGGAGAUGUACCUUUGGCAGGAGGAGCCACUGCUUUCUUAAGACCAGGAGGAGGCACCUUCUUUUCUGGUUCAGGUUUCUUAGGCACCACAGGCACUUUAAAGAUAUCAUUUGAUUUUAUAAUUUAAGAUACACAAACACAGAGACACCAGACACAGCAAUAAUACAACUUAUAGUAACAGAUAUUGAAACAGAACACUGGGACUUUUACGGAUAGAAAGAAGUGGCAGUGUCUAAUUUGCUUGGGAGUAGCAGUACCUGUGGCGGGGGGAGCCUCCUUUUUCUUAGGAAUGAUCAUUUUCUUCUCUGGCACUUUCUUCUUAACCUCAGGCACUUCAAAGACAUCAUUUCAUGAUAAGAAUUUAUUGUGAGGGACAAAAAAGAGAGAACACAAGAAGUCCACACACAGAAAGAACACAUACAACAGUUGCUCAGGGUAGAGAUAUAGGGUAGAUCAGGAGCCCAAUGUUAAGCAAGGGAUCAGCAACCUAUUUGAAUAUCAGAGGACAGAUGCUGUCAUUUCAUCCAUCUAAAUUUCACUAGGAAUUUAUUGAAUCAUUAUCUAUAAAGUAUUUCUGAAUUCUUGAAAUCUAAUAAAGGACCAGCAUGGGGUAUCUGGGUGGCUCAGUCGGUUAAGCAUUGGACUUCAGCUCAGGUCAUGAUCUUGCCGUUUGUGAGUUCGAGCCCCGCAUCGGGCUCUAUGCUGACAGGUCGGAGCCCGGAGCCUGCUUCAGAUUCUGUGUCUCCCUCUCUAUAUCUGCCCCUACCCCACUCGCACUCUCUCUCUCUAAAAAAUAAAUUAAAACAUUAAAAAAUUUUGAUAAAGGACCAGCUUUACCAUUUCACUGCUCAUAUGAUAUUUAACCUGGUGGAGAGGUUAUGCUUAUUUUAAGUAGUGAUGCCAUGACCUUUUGCAGAAAAUACUGAGCUUUAAGGUAUAACUAUAUGGACUUUGUCCUGUACUAUGGUCUGACCUGGAUAAUUCAUUCAGUGAUAGAGCACUUUCACAUACCUUACUUUAUUUUAUCCUCACAAUAAUAUCUGAGCCCGCUAGAACUGAUACCAGUCUCCCCAUUUUAAAGGAGAGAUACCCGAGGCUCAGAUUGGUUAAAAGGCUUGCUCAGAAUAAUACAGCAAGGAACAAACCCAAGGCUAAAGUCAAAACCUGCUGGGCUACCAUUUAUAUAUAUGUAACACAAGACAUAAGCUAUUCCAUAGUAUUUUGAGAAAUACUUCAAUCCUUUUUUAUCUUCAUCCUGGUGUUACAAAGGCACUUCAUAUAAAUGGCUGAAGGAUGAAACUUAGGAAAAUGUAUUCAUCAUAUUUAGCUUGGCAGAAUAUCUAUAUGAAAAUUAUGAUGUUUGGGGCGCCUGGGUGGCUCAGUCAGUUAGGCGCCCGACUUUGGCCCAGGUCAUGAUCUCACGGCUCGUGAGUUUGAGCCCCGCGCAGGGCUCUGUGCUGUGAGCUCAGAGUCUGGAGCCUGCUUCAGAUUCCGUGUCUCCCUCUCGCUCUCCCCUCCCCUGCUCAUUCUCAUAUUCUCUCUCUCUCUCUCUCUCUCUCUCUCUCUCUCUCUAUCAAAAAUAAACAUUAAAAAAAUUAAAAAGAAAGAAAAUUAUGAUGUUUAAUAAAAUUAUAGGCAACUGGGUAGAACUUCUGUGGCAGCACUGGGACAAUAGUUUCUUUUAACUUUGUUCUUGAAUACUGUUUUGCAUCCAGUGAAAAGUGGAUAUCAGUGUUCCUGAACAUUUUUAGAAAUAAAAAUGUGCCACUCUAUUCUAUAAAUAUAAUUUUUCCUAAACCCAAUUCCACCACAAUUUUUCUGGAUGAAAAUGUUUAUGGAUGAAGAAUGUGCAUUCACUUAGGGGAAGUAUACCUUUGGGUGGUGGAGGUUCCACUUUUUUAGGAGCAGGAACAGGGACUUUCUUCUCUGGUACAGGUUUCUUUGGUACUUCAGGCACUUAAAAACAUUCAUUUUAAGACAUUAAAAACCACAGGCACAGUAUUAUAUAAAUAACAAAAAGACAAAUGAGAAUAAGACCACAAACGACUAAAUAACAUUGCAUGUCAUGAAAUCCGAAAAGACAUUCAGAUCAUUUACGAUAGACACACAUGACAGACACAACAAUAAAGGCACACAUGUCUGGAACGCUUUCUAAGAUUCAGAUGGUAGACAACAUAAAGAGUGAAGUAGUAUAGAUAAGACUGGAGAUGAAUACGAAAGAUGGAAAGGCAGAAUGCAACACAAAAGAGGCCUUGAUGACUCCAAGGAGAGUUGCUAUACCUCGUGCAGGUACUGGCACCUUAGGUUUAAUUUCUGGAAGAACUUCCUCUUCUUCAGGUACAACUUCUUCCUCAGGUAUGAAUUCUUCCUCCUCAGGAGGAACUUCUUCUUCUUCAGGAGCAAUUUCUUCUUCUUCAGGAGCGACUUCUUCUUCCUCAGGUAGAAACUCCUCUUCCUCAGGUAGAACUUCCUCUUCCUCAGGUAGAACUUCCUCUUCAGGAGCAAUUUCUUCUUCGAAUGGGACUUCUUCUUCCCGAGGUAGAGCUACAGGAACUGGAACUGGCUCGCGUUUCUUGGAUAUCACUUUAAAGAUAUUUAUUCAAUCGUACAAGUGUCACUUUUAUGUACACUAUUCAUAACAAUGGGAUAACAUGAAAAGCAAAUAUUCUGUUAUCAUAGAGCAUUGAUUGUCUCAAAUUCAAUAUCAUUAAGCAUUAAUUGUAAUUAGUGAGGCAGUAUAAUACCAGUUAGUUUUCCUUUUUGCCCUGUUUCUGUAAGAAACUAAUGUACCUUUGGGUGGUGGAGCUUCCACUUUUUUCGGAACAGGUGUUGGUUUCUUUUCUUCUGGGAUGAGCUUCUUGGGCACCUCUGGCACUUUAAAAAUAUUAUUUGUCUUUAAGAAUGUGUUCUUUUAUGUUUUGGAGCAACGGAUAUGAAAAUAAUCACAAGUACCUGACUUUUACAUUUCUAAUCAACAAGGUUUUAAAACAUGCAAUGUUAUGGGGGAAGGUGUAUGUGAAUAUACAUAACUGAAACCCACACUUAAAUGAUGAAGUGAUGUACCUUUUGCGGGUGGAGCCUCUACUUUCUUAGGUACAGGAACUGGCACCUUCUUCUCAGGCACAGGCUUCUUGGGCACUUCUGGCACUUUAAAGAAAUUAUUUAGAGAAAAAUGUUACAUGACAUAAAAUUUUGAGUAUAAGCAUAGUCUCAAAAAAGAUUAAUAAAAUUAUAACCAAGGCAUUUCAAGAAGCAUUUUAUCUUUAAAAUAAAAUUUUUUCUUUUCCAUGAAGGAAUAUUAAACAGUUGCAUCCCCAAAGAGCAUAGAAUUGAACUGGUUAAUUUUUCCUUAUAUGCAAAUGUGAAAUAAAAACAUUUCGCAAGUUCAUGUACCUUUGGCAGGUGGAGCUUCCACCUUUUUAGGAGCCGGUACUGGUACUUUCUCCUCUGGUACAGGUUUCUUGGGUACUUCAGGAACUUUAAAGAUAUCAAGUAGGAUUAGUGUCAAAUUCUUCACCCGUCGAUAAGGACCCAACAAUUUUAGGACUUAACUGAAGCAUCAUAUAAUUUUACUUUAAGAAUGAAAAUAAUAACAGCCACAAAAUAAAGGCAAGGAGAGGCACAAAAUUUAAAUAGAGAACACUGAGAAAACACAGACUGGUGAUAAAGACAACACACAAUGCCUGGUAAAGGGUGAUCUUGUCCAUUUUGGUAUUAUAAGAAUUUACCUUACAGUAAGAACUUUCCACUAAAGACAAAGAGCCAAGCAUUUAGCACCAGCAUGCUUUGAUGGCAAAAUUUAGAGAUGAAUACAUGGUAAACUGCUUUUAUGACCAGUUGGGAGGCCCUUGUCUUGUUAAUAUUGUCAUGGGGAAAGAAGUUUUAUCAAGUUAUACUACGUGAAUAAAUUAUUACAUUAUCCCACUGAUGGAUUAUAAAGAGAUGUACCUUUAGCUGGUGGAGGCUUCUCUUUUUUAGGAAUGGGCACAGGAACCUUCUCCUCUGGCUUCUUAGGAAUCUCAGGCACUUUAAAGAUAUUGUUUAUUGGUAAGUUCUAACUACUAGUAACAACACAUCUGUAUAAAGCACAAUUAACAUUUCUAACAACAGAGAGCAACACACACAAAGUUGUGAACUCAGAAGAUAUUCAUAUGGAGAUUAAGGCUUUUCUAUGGUCAUGUUAUGAAUGGUGGUAUACCUUUUGCUGGUGGGGCUUCCUUCUUUUUGGGAACAGGAACAGGUUUCUUCUCUUCUGGAACAGGUUUCUUGGGGAUCUCGGGCUCUUUAAAGAUAUUAUUAAGAAUUUUGGGAAUGUUGCAUAUAAGAUAUAAAAUGUGAAAAGUAACUGCAGAAAUCAUACUUCAGCAUAAGUGUCUGUUUCUAAAAUAAGCAGAAUUGGUCAUCGGUGCUAAUAAGCCCCAGAGUCUGACCAAAUGAGACACCUAGACUCUAGAGAUGCUGCUGUGUAUCCCUUUGUCAAGAGACAUAAUCUACCUUUGACCGGUAUCACUGGUACCACUUCUUCUUCAGUUAUGAGUUCCUCUUCUUCAUGAAGGUACUCUUCUUCCUCUUCAUAAUAUUCCUCUACUUGGGUGACAACUUCCUCUUCAAAGGCAAUCUCUUCUGGUUCUCGUCUUUUGGGUACUUCUGGCACUUUAAAGAUAUUAUCUUUAGGUUUGACAUUUACCAAUUACUCAAGGAAAUUAAGACACAUAGGAACAUAGCCAUUUGUAACAGAAGAAAGAUCAGGCUUUAUCUUUCCCAGAGAAGAGUUUCACACGUAGAACUGAACAUGACUUUUACAACAAAGAAGACAACACAUUAAAAAGAAUAUUAGGUACCUCUAACAGGUGCUGUUACUUCUUUUUUAGCAACAAGUACUUUUUCUUCUGUGACAACUUUCUUGGGCUUCAAGGGCACUUGAAAUUUAAGGAGAUUUAUUGUCAGAAACAGGCUACCUAGCCAAUGCUUGCUUUGUCAGACUUUAAGCAGACAGAAUAAUUUUACAAGUCUUUCAUGUGAUAGAUAUAAAACUGUUCAUCUAUAAGAAGCUUUAUAUGUUCCAUGGAAAUGCUUCUGAACCUCACUGGGAUAAAAACGGACAAAAAUACUCAAGUAAGUUUGAAGUAGCAGAACCCAGAUGUGAAAUUAUGUUUAGUGUUCAGGUAUCUCUGCUUGUAGGAAACAUCCUUUACUGAAAAGCUAAAUUUGCCUCUGGGUAAGUAUGCUUUCUGAAAGUGCAGAGAAGUUACUUCAUACUUAGAAAAAAAAAAAAAAGACUAGGCACUGAGUUAGAUUUUUUGUUUUUAAGCCUUUAAAAUAAGUUUAGAAUGAAUAAACAGGUAUUAAACCCUGGUCAACACUGUUAUAUCAUUAUAUCAAUUUAGAUAAGUUAGAAAUGUGUCAAAUGGUUACCAAUUUUAAAUCCAAGUAUUCUAUUUUAAAUAUAUUGUAGCCACAGCUGUUGUAUCAUAGGCUAAGGAUACAUUUGCAAACAACUUUUUGUUUUAUAGGUAACAUUAUCUACUUAUCCUAUGUUGACAGAUUUUUCUAUCUAGUAAAUCCUGAUGAUAAAAGACAUACAAAAACAAAAUGAAGCAAAUCAUAGCUACCUUAAUUUUAAAAGAGACAUUAUAAAAGAUCACAAUUUUGGAAGGAAAUCAUUAUACCUUUAACAGCUGGCUCAGCCACCUGCUCUUUUUCACGUUUGGUAACUGAAAUGUGUAUUUUUUCCUCAACAAGUUUCUUUGGUUCUUCAGGCACUUUGAAGACAUUAAUUAUUGAAGAACAUUAAAACCAACCACACAAAUACCAUAUAAAUAAAAAAUACACAAAAACUGUGAAAUGUAAGAAUCAGGACCACAACACAUUCAGUAAAAACAAAAAACAGCAGACAAGGUAGUAAGACACAUUUAUAGAACAUAGGUAACAAAGAUGUUUCUCGUAGUUAUCACUCUGCAAAGUACCUUUGGGUGGUGGAGGUUUGAGUUUCUUGGGAAUGGGCACUGGUACUUUUUCUUCAGGGACAGGUUUCUUCGGCACUUUAAAAUAUCAAUAUUAACAGAUUUAAAAACCAGAUUUCUCAAGAGUAGUAAGAACAAAAAGAAACACAAUGUACAACAUAAUACCGCCCCCCCAUACACACACACAAUUUGUACGUUGCCACUUCAACAAGUGUGUAUAGCAUGACAGACAUGUAGGAAACAUGGGUCUCUUAGAACUGAUAAUAUUUUUCUCACUGUACCUUUAGUUGGUGGGGCCUUUGGCUUUUUGGGAACCGGUUCUUCUUGGACAGGCUUUACUGGGAGAGGCUUCUCGGGUUCUUUAAAAGUACACACAGGGUAUUUAAUGUUAGACUUUGGAACAUAAAUAAAACAUGCUAUUGCCUAAAUGGACUCAAAGAAUUAAAGUAAUAUAUCUUUUAUUUACAGUGUAGCCAUAGCCUCUAGAGCUGAAUGAGAAUCACAGGUUCAAGGAGAUUAAGGCCUAAAAGCCCUAAACAAGCUUACAGUGCCCUUUCCUCCUGGCUCUUAGGUCACUGUAACUUUCUCUUACAUAUUAACAUUUUCAUUUCACUUCAGGUAGAAAAAAAUCAUGGUUAAGACUUCUUUCUAAAUAAUGUUGGCUUUUAAUGCUAUCUGUACAACCACAUAGAAUGUUCUCAAAGUUAAGCUAUGAAGUAUCAGAGAUUGGGUACAUGAAAUAAUAAUAUUGAUUCAUUUCAAAAUUCCAGUAGGAACUUAAUUCUUUGAGUAAAAUAAAGAAAUUGCAGCUGAAGUUAUACUCAACAAAUCUGAUCUUCAUUAGAUAUAACAUAACUGCUUGUGUUAGCCUCCUCUGUCUUUACUUCUGAAGCAGUCUUGUCAAGUUUUUUUUUUAAUAUGAAAUUUAUUGUCAAAUUGGUUUCCAUACAACACCCAGUGCUUAUCCCAACAGAUGCCCUUCUCAAUGCCCAUCACCCACCCCCCCCCCCCCCAUCAACCCUCAGUUUAUUCUCAGUUUUUAAGAGUCUCUUAUGGUUUGGCUCCCUCCCUAACUUUUUUUUCCUUCCCCUCCCCCAUGGUCUUAAGUUUCUCAGGAUCCACAUAAGAGUGAAAACAUAUGGUACCUGUCUUUCUCUGUAUGACUUAUUUCACUUGUCAAGUUUUGAUGAUGCGAACCCAUCUUUUGAGUUUUACAUCAAAUGGAAAACAUUUUUUUUUUACAAAUAUUUUUGACUCAUGGAAAAUACAUUUUUCUUUUUUUUUUUUUUUUUAAUUUUUUUUUCAACGUUUAUUUAUUUUUGGGACAGAGAGAGACAGAGCAUGAACGGGGGAGGGGCAGAGAGAGAGGGAGACACAGAAUCGGAAACAGGCUCCAGGCUCUGAGCCAUCAGCCCAGAGCCUGACGCGGGGCUUGAACUCACGGACCACGAGAUCGUGACCUGGCUGAAGUCGGACGCUUAACCGACUGCGCCACCCAGGCGCCCCGGAAAAUACAUUUUUCAAAAGACUAUUGUACUCAAUAAUAACACAUUUUAGAAUAAGAUAUUCAGAAAUUUCUGAUCAUGUAUUACAAUGAUCAUGGGCCCUUGCAGAUAAACUCUUAACCUUUUUGAGAAAGAAACUUAGGGACAUUUGCUAUUUUGUGUCUAAGCAAAAAUGAGGGGGAAAUAGGUUAGUCUCAGAACCAAAGUUGAAUAGUAACCUUAAGAUUUACGGAGAUUUUUUUCUAAAAGUUACCGAAGAACCAAAAAGUCCUGAAUUUGUCAAAUGAAGUAAAAUUCUUUGCAAAUGGGGGCGCCUGGGUGGCGCAGUCGGUUAAGCGUCCGACUUCAGCCAGGUCACGAUCUCGCGGUCCGUGAGUUCGAGCCCCGCGUCGGGCUCUGGGCUGAUGGCUCGGAGCCUGGAGCCUGUUUCCGAUUCUGUGUCUCCCUCUCUCUCUGCCCCUCCCCCAUUCAUGCUCUGUCUCUCUCUGUCCCAAAAAUAAAUAAACGUUGAAAAAAAAAAUUUAUAAAAAAAAAAAAAUUCUUUGCAAAUGUCUUUGGGCAUCCAAACUUCUAUCCCGUUCUAAUGGAAUCUGAAAGUAUUUAAUGUGGUGUCAGGUGUGCAGUUUUGCUCAUACCUGUGACAUAUUCUUCACGCUCUUUAUACUCUUCAUAAUGCUCAAAUUCACGUUCCUCAUAUUCUUCAUAUUGGUCAUAUUCUUCUGUUGGCUCAUACUCCUCAAAUUCUUUAUAAUCAUCUUCCUCAUAUUCUUCAUAUUCCUCUUCCCGUUCUACCGAAACGGUUUCUUCUUCUUGAGUGUAAGACCAUUCUUUCUCUUCAGUUACAGUUACUUCUAGAAUAACAUUGACAACAGGCAGCAUUUUACUUCAAGCCCAUUUAAGAGUGAUAGUGACGAUGCACUUUGAUUUCAUUCUUAUGUGAUGGAUUCAUGCACUGGUUAUGGGAGACCCUGACUGUCCUUUCUUCCUCAAGGUAUUAAAGAAUGUACAUUUUGCUCUCUAUGAUUACAAAUGUUAGAUGUCCUGCCAUAAGUCAACAUAAGCCAGUAAAGGUGGGAGUCAAAUUAGGAAGUAGCAGGCAAAAAGCUGUAUAGUUUUUUAUUUAGUCAAAGCUCAACAUACCUUUCACGGGAGGAGCUUCUCUUUUUGGAACUUCAACGGAUACCUUUUCUUCUUUAACAGCUCUUUUUCUGAUUUCAGUGACUUUAAAAAGAGUAAUUAUUAAAAGUGAGUUACAGGAUUUUGAAUAUGUACAUGUUAAGAGCUACUGUGUAUGAACCAUCCACAGACAAAGACAACCAUCACCAUGCUCGUCAUUAUUUCUCAUUCACUUGGCAAGAAAAAAUCAAUAGACUGGGAAAUAAACAUGGUCUAUGAUACAAAGGAAUACUUUUUCCUAACUUGCUUAAUGUUUCAAAGAUAUUGAAUGCCUUUAAGAAGGUCAGGGAGUGUUUAUAAGAGACUGCAAAAAAGACACCCAGCCAGCAUAAACAAUGACUAGCGAACAAGCAUUAGGCAGAAGCUUGAGUCACAUAAGUAGUGUCUUCGCCUGAAUUCUAAAGUGUUCUCAAUAAGCUCCACUGGCACCAUGUAGAAAAUCCAGGCUUUAAAAAUUUUGAAGUUUUGUCAAAGACUGCCACACAACACAAUCAUUUCGGCAGAUGAGUUUAGUAUACAGACAAUAACAUAUUAGAAGACGAGUCCAUUUUGAGGAAAUGUACACGUUUGGGGGAGCUUUGCACUUUUGCGGAAAAGAAGGAAGAGAGUACUUUCUGGUAUCAGAAAUGUUGAGUUUUGAAGUGACAGGAAAUAGCGUGUGCAUAUGACUUACUUUAUAAUAAAGUAUUCAGAUUAUUUUCUCUAAAGAUCCCAAUUCCUCUAGGUUAACUUCAGUACCUACAUGCUUCUUUCGAGUUUUGAAAAAAGUUGGUGUACCUUUUGCUGGUGGUUCCUCCUCUCUUUUAGGUUUGAGUUUUGGAAUUUUUUCUUCUGGAACAGCUCUCUUGGGCUCCGCGGGCACUUUAAAGACAGAUUUCACUUUAAAGACUUGUUUCCCUCAUCCAAACCUCCAAAAGGCAGUCAGAGAAUAGUAACUCAAACAUAAAAGACUUGACAUUUGCAUUCUUUCAAACAUACAAAACAACUAGAGCAACAAGAACAACGAACAACACCCAUAUACCCAGUGCAUUUGGUAAAGAGAAUAGAUUAAAUACAAUAUUCUGUGUAUUGAAAGGUCUCAUGUACCUCUUGCUCUUGGAGGCUCUUCUUUUUUAGUCACAGCAACGUGAACUUUUUCUUCCUCAGUAAUUUCCACGUGCCUCUCAGUCACUUGAAAGAUAAUUUUAGGAUUUGGGAGUUAAAUUACUUACUUAAAGUGGAUUUUUUUUUUUUUUGUAUUGGCCAGAAAGUACUGUGAUUUUAGACUAUGACAAUUCACAACACACACACCAAUAAACGUCACAACAGGUUAAUACUCCACCCAUAGAUAAGGCAAUAAUACACCAUUGCCUCCGACAUACACCAGUAACCCCCACACACAAGGUGUGAGCCAAGGUCAGCAGCGAGAGGAUGAAAAGACAAGACACGGUUCUUGUUUUUGUGCUGGAGAAUUUCAUUUACCUUUGGUUGGGGGAGGUUCUUCUUUCUUAACCACUUUUGGAGGAACCCUUUUUUCUGGAACUGGCUUCUUUGGCUCUUCUGGCACUUAAAAGAUAUCAGGCAACACAGUCAAGCACACAACGUGGAAAAUCUUAAACACAGGCAUACGUUUUCUUGUUAGUGUUAUACAAAUCUGAAGAACGUACCAAUUUACGAUGAAAAAGACAGACAUUGUGCAAGAAAGAAUAAAAUAAAGCCAAUAUACCUUUAGCUGGUGGCACCUUUUCCUUUUUAGGAACUGCAGCAGGGAUUUUCUUUUCUGGCACAGUUUUCUUAGGUGCCUCAGGAACUUUAGAAAGAUGAGGUUUAAGAACGUCAGUUUGCGUUACAGAUAAAGUGACAUGUGGGGCUUCGCUUUUUGUAAAGACCAUAUGUACACACAAACAUUAAUGACUGAAUCAGCAAAGAUGUUGAUACACGUGUGAGGACAAAAUUCAGGCAGUCCUCAGAGGCUUUAUAGCUAUUAAAGCAAAGGGUAUCAUAUUCUUUGAGAGAGAACUAUACCUUCAGCUGGUGGUGGCUCCUCUACCUUAGCAGGAAUUUUCGGUUUCAGCACAAUCUUCUUCUCAUGCUUCUCAAGCACUUGAAAAGAUUACAAAAUACACGUGUAGAAAUGCCCAGAUUUCUUUUUUUUUAACUGUUUAUUUAUUUUUGAAAGAGAGAGAGCGCACACAAAUGGGGAGGUGCAAAGAGAGAGGGAGACAGAGAAUCCGAGCAGGCUCUGUGCUGUCAGUGCAGAGCCCAAUGUGCGGCUCAGUCUCACAAACCAUGAGAUCAUGACCUGAGCUGAAACCAACAGUCAGGUGCUUAGGUGACUGAGCCACCCAGGUGCCCCCAGAUUUCUUUUCAAUAAAAAUAUAUGGAAUCUUUUUACUUAGACGUGAUGGCUAUCAAUACUUGCAAUACAAGUGAUAAACUAACCACAAGAGGACAUAAAGAAUGGGACAAGCCAAACACACGUGGGGCUCAAAUUAACACAAGAGUCGGUAUACCUUCGGCAGGUUCGGCCUCCACUCUCUUAGAAAUAAUGUGCAUCUUUUCUUCCACGACAUAUUCCUCAGGCUCUUCCAUCACUUUAAAGACAUCAGUUUUAAAGAAAAGUUGUAGUGCUUUUCAAGUUUAACUUCAGCUGUAAUUUAUUACUUCAAAGAGCAAUUAAAAUAAUAAAAAGUUUAACACGUGCCAGAUCCCCGAUUGUUCCCAUUUAAGAUACCCAAAGAAGUGCAUUUUCGUCAAAGCAUGUGCCUCAAUGAAGCAUGUGAAAAAUAAGUUUCAAUAAUUUAAUUUUCAAGUGUAUCAUAAAGAUAAUAAUGCUUGUAUUCAUAGGAAGAACAGGACAAGUACACGACAUAAAAAACAAUCCUAGUGGCUAAAUUAAUAAGAACACAAGCAUUUGAAGAUAGGUUUCAAAAAUAACAGAGCACUCUAGGUUUGAAGGCUUCAGGGCAGAAACAUACACUUGAGGAAUCAUAAAUGGGUUUAUAAAAAAGCCUGUAUUACAUAUGAAAAACCUACUGAGGACUUGGAAACUGGGUGGUGUAUUUUUUUCCAUCUUUGUGGGGACAGGUAUGGUAGAAGAGACAGGUGUCUUCAUAUGAUUUUUGAAUCUAUGUGUAUAGUAUUAAUUAUAGAAUAGAAUCUAGUUAUAGACACAUCUCUUUACACUAAAAGCCAACUUAAGAGACUACCCAUCCUCUCCCUAAAUCUUCCAGGCUUAAUGAAAACUUAAGAACAUCAUAGAACAUCUCUCUUUUUAACUAGAGUCCAUAUACAGAAAGAGAUUUAUAAUGUGUACUGUCAAAAGUUGAAAUCAGAUUCAUGCAGUGAGAACUUUUUUUUUUUAAUUUUUUUUAACGUUUAUUUAUUUUUGAGACAGAGAUAGAGCAUGAACGGGGGAGGGUCAGAGAGAGGGAGACACAGAAUCUGAAACAGGCUCCAGGCUCUGAGCUGUCAGCACAGAGCCUGACGUGGGGCUCGAACUCACGGACCGCGAGAUCAUGACCUGAGCCGAAGUCAGCCGCUUAACCGACUGAGCCACCCAGGCGCCCCGAGAGCUUUCUUUAUACACAUGUUAUGUUUGGUUUCCCAAACAUGUCUAAAAGGGAUGGGGCCCUCUUUGAUCUAUUAGAUUCCUGACUUACACCCAACACCAUGGCCUUUCCCAGGAAGCACAACAGAACCGGUGGGCUUCCUCUUGGGACUCAUGUGCUGUCUUGCUCUGCUCCAAGCCAUUCUGUUAUGAUUGCCCCUGGGAAUUUUAUAUGGACUUUUCUUCCACGUGGAGAAGAAGUGGGGCACAUUUAUUAGCCAGAAAUGCACUCUCAAGGGCAUCUACAUAUAGAAUUCUAUUUAUCUUUUUAUUAGAAAAAGGGUCAAUUUGUUACAGAGCUUACUGAUUUUUCUUUAAAGCAGAGCUAUGUCGGAACUUUCUUAAGGAAGUUCUUUCAGAUAUAUAGCUUCAGCCAGGGUGCUGCACUUUAACAGUAAACCUAAUGGUAUCUUACUCAUUGAAAAGGACUGAAACAAAGCUUAUUGUUCAAUCCUUAUGAAGCAAUAGAGAACUAGAAUUAUAGGUAUGGGGACAUCUGAAUAGUUAAUUCAAUCAAAGAUAUUACAUCAUUGUUUUCUCCACACAUGAAAUAUAAGAAAAGCCUAUGUGUUCAGUGCUUCACUAUCAAACAUGGCCUUGACUUCUGGAAUAUAAUAACACAAUUUCUUAUUCAUUUAAAAACUGUGAGUUGUGCUAUCAACACUGCUUUAUGUUACCCAUGUUUUAGACAUUAGACUACCAGGUGAAGUUUAUGCUAGCCCACCAUGCUGAAAUCGAGUCCUGUCUACUGAAAGGAUACAUGUGUAUGGCGAUACCUGCACCAUGAGUAACCUAUAAAUAUGAAGCCUUUUCUCUCCCCCUUACCUAUAGCCAAGUAAGAGAGGAUGGACAAGAAAUACACUGGAUGUUUACUCUAAGUCCUGCUCCUGAAUCUUGUGUUUUGAUCAACAGAUACAUCUAAUGAGGCCCACAGAUGCUCACUGAAUUUGUGUCACUUUCAUUAAUCUGAGAAACAAUCUGUGAAAGAAAACAGCCCAUCAAGAUUCCAGAUCAUCUCUGGAUCAGGGCAUUGUUUACCUUCAUAUUCUGUAACUUCCACUUCCUCCUCCUCCUCCUCUCUUUCCUCUUCUCUAUAAACUGAAACGGACACUCUUUCCUCUUCUGCUGAAUAACUCCACUCCUCCUCUGCAGAUAUUUUAAAAGAUAAUAUUUAAUGUAAAUUCAGUCUCCUGAAAUACUGGUAAUAGCCAUAUGUUCCCUACAGAUAGAUAACGGUUCUUCUCUCUGCUGAGGGCGUGGCUUCAUAGUGCUUCCCUCAUUACAUGGAAGUGAGAGCUGAUUUAAGAUAAGAGAACAGUACAGCCCAAGACUGAGAAGAAUAUUCAGAUGAUGUCCAAGUGUGGCCACUUUGGACAAUUAUCACAUUUUCAGCACCCCAUUCACUGUCUUAGAAUGAUUGAGGACCAAUGCAGACACGAAAGACUCAGUCUCAGAAAGCUAUGGCAUGUAGACACCGAUAAGGACAACUUGUAAGGUAAACAGUCACAUCUGGAGAGAAGGACAUUGAGGAAACACACACACCCAUUUUCCCCCUCACUUCUGAUUAUAUACCUUCAUGUCGCAUGACUUCCACUCUUUGAGGAACUGCAACAGAUAGUUUUUCUUCGGCAGCAAAUCUUUUUUCUUCUACCACAGUUUUCUUAGAAACUUCAGCUUUAAAAAAGCAUUAAAGUUGAAGUUUAAAUUUUAAGAAUCUUAAUAAUUUUCUCUCCCUAGGAGUUUGGGUAAUAAAUACACAAUACACCGUUCUCACUAACACAAUGGGAAAACAAGUUACGUAACAUAUCACAAGGAUGUACACAUAACAAUUCAAUCAGAAGAGAGACAGAGGGUCACGCAGGAAGACAUGUGAUGGAACAAAGGAAGAAUUCACAAGCUGAAAGAUUUUUGUCAAAUCCUACCUCGGGGAGGAGGAGCUUUCUUAGCGACAGGAACUGGCACAGGAACUUUUUCUUCAGGGACGGGUUUCUUACGUAGAGCUGGCACUUUAGAAACAUGUACUUUUAGAACCUCAGAGUCAUCUCACCGAAGGCCAACCCCAAACACAGAUAUAUACCCACAAUGCACUCAAUAUCACAGAACUAACAAAACUAUCAUUUGCCUUGUCACAUAAUAUUAUGUAAGAUGGUUCUUGGAAAGAGAGAGAGGCGAUACCUUUUGGUGGUGGAACUUCUUCCUCUUUUUGAGGAACGGGUCUUUUUUCUUCAGGAACUUUCUUCUUUGGUAUUUCUGGCACUUAAAGAAUAGUAUUUGGUUUUAAAAUUCCCAGAACGGCAAAAUAAAUGAGCAACACAGAAUUGGCAUGCCCAUGAAAGAAGACAUGCAAUUAAAGAAGCCUCAAGGAAAGACAAGGUUAUUUAUGAAGAUGGAAUUAAGUACCUGCUGGUGGUGGAGAUUCUUCUCUUUGAGUAACAAUGGUUAUUUUUUCUUCCGUGACAACCCUCUUCUGUACUUCAGGAACUUGAAAAGACAUGAAUUUUUUGAAAUGAAUUUAUAUUUUCCCAAGUAGCUAAUUUACAGCUAUUUUGUAAAAGAGUAGGCAGGUGGACAGGCACUUCUGUUGAAUUAUUACUCACACCAUAAAACACUCAUUUUGAAUUAAAGUAACUCAACACAUAAGGAAACACAAAAGUGUUUUGUACUCAAGACAUAAAAAUAGGGCUCCUUUACCACGCAAGACACUGUACCUUUAGCUGGUGGAACUUCCUUUUUCUUUCCGACAGGAACAGGAAUCUUUUCUUCAGGGACCGGUUUCUUUGGCACCUCUGGGACUUAAAGUUUUUUAAACAGAACAUUAGUUCAGACAUAUACCACUUUUAUGAAUGGACAUAGGCACAUACACAAAUCUUUAGUAGUUAAUUAAUGUUAUAGAGUUUCGAUGUAUUGGCAAAAUAACACAGAAAAUUAGACUAUAAUGUUACAAAGGUCAUGAUGUGAUAAAUGCCACAAGUAGUGUUACAGAAGCAUUCAAGCAAUUAAAAGUGAGUUAUAUACACAAAAAGAUAUGUACAUAACUUAUUUACAUAUCGGUAUGCUUUUGAUAAAACAAACCAGUGACUACACAAGCAAUAUAGUGUGUAGAUAUAGAAUAUAGCAAAGUGUCGUUAUGCUUUGUAUGGAGAAAUGGAAUCCAUAAUGACAAUGGAGUUAAUUUAUCUAAGACUAUCUUAGACUGAGACAUAUUUAGAAUAAUUGUAUCUAUAUGUUAGCAUUUUUUUUCCCAUUUCUCUUCUGAUUUUGUUUGUUUUUGAUGCAACUGUAGUGUGUUGAAAAAUCAGGAAACACUCAUUCUAGAGUAAAUUGGCUUCUCCAUCUGAUACCCAUGUGUCAUUGGCUUUGGGGAGCUCUGUGUGUGAAAUUUUGUGGGUAUGUGCAUAUAUGCUUUUCUCUAAGAGGCUUCAUUGUUUUCAAAAGGAUCUCUGACCCAAAAAGGUUAACAACAGUUUAGUUUAUCUAAGUGUUGAUGGUGUGGAAUUUUUAACCGGCAGAUGUAUUUUAUUUUAACAGGAUGCUUUACUGGCAAUAAUUGUUUCCAUUUCAAACAGGAUAGCAGUUUUUGUGAACUCCUGCACUUCUCUACUUGCAUUUGUAACAUCUCAAUGUAAUUAUACAGAUACACAUUUCUGUCUGUAUAUAUUAUCUAUAUAUGGGUGUUUAUGCAUGUCUAUAUAUGUUACUAUGUGUAUUUAUUUCAAUGGUGAGACAUGUCUCUGUGUCUCCUUCAGGAGUGAUCAAGUGGCUUUGGUAUGAGUAUUGGUUUUAGUAAUAUGAUCUUUUAAUAUAUUUUAUCUUCAUAUACUCAUUAUAUUUUAAUGAUUAGAUAAUCAGAAAUCAUUUUACAAAUCACUCGAUUAAAAAAAAAAAAGACCCAGAAUUCUGAAACAGUCAAGAGUUUGAGAAAGAGGAGAAACAGAUUUGAUUCAGGAAGAAACUGGACAAUGGAAGUCAGGCAAAAUGGGAACAUGAUGAUUUCAGUAAGCCUAAAUUGGAUGCUACUGAAUUCUUGCUGAAUCUCUCUGUAACAGACCAGAUGUGUGCAGUCUGUAGUUUCACUGCAUCCAUAAAGUCUGUCUUAUACCACCACCUGCCCCCACAAAACAAACCAAAUUCAAAAGCAAAGUAAAGGAUUAGCACAUCGAAUCCAAACAUACCUAGACCAAAAGGCCUCUGACUAGGUAAUAGAUAAUCGUAACAUUUAUGGCAAAUACUGACAUUCAAUUAAAGUCGGGAAACACGGUGAAAGUACAUGUCGAAAAUCAAUGUUUCCCACUAUUCUAGACUCACCACUAUGGACUUUUCAGAAGAGUGACAGUUACUAGCAGCAUUGUACAAUCUUUGUCUAGUUAAUAUUCAGUUCUGCCAAACACCGUCAGAAGGUUGCUACUCUUUGUCUCUCAUUAUAACUCAUGGAAGUGUUUUGUAUUAAGAAAAACAUCCCAUAUAUAAGGGGUGAAAGAGUUCUUCUUCCAAACACGCCUGCUGAAUACGAGUUUCACAAAAUUUCUUCUUUCUCUGAGACAGGAAAGAUAUUAAAAAUUUAAGACAGCAGUUUGACAUAGUUACUUCUUUUAAGAACACUUUGGUGAUGUCUUUGGGAUGUUCAGUGUCAUAAAUAAUGCAUGCCAAGAGUACAGCCCUGGAAGGUGGUAAACAAAUGAAAAACACGAGGGGCAUCUAAAAGACACAAAAUACUAAGCAUAGCAUGCGGUUGAAGACUACAUAAAACAAAAGACUGGCAUUUGAGGCAAAGGGUUGCCCCAUGAUCAGUUCUGGUGUACCUUUUGGGGGAGCAGCAGGUUCCUUUUUGGGUACAGGAAUGGGCUUUUUCUCCUCUGGCACAGGUUUCUUGGGAACUUCAGGAACUUUAAAGAUACCAUUGUUGAAACAGUGUUGAGAAUUCGAGUCUCCUUCUGAGACAUUUAAGAUUAUACUAAAGCAUAAAUCCUCAGUAAGAGUGUAAGAAUUUAGGAAGUAAUUAAACAUGCUCUACUUGUGGUAGAAAUGUAUGCUAAAUAAAUCAGUACCAUAGAGACACUACAUACAUUCCAUGAAACAAAGACCCAGUUAGUAUGGUCUAAAUGUUACUGAUACUUGUAUAAUACAUUACCACAAUUAAUGAAAUAAACAUACACAGAACUAAAUACAUUACAAAUGGUUGACAGAUGCUGUUUCGUUAAUACACAGAUCCCAUUGAAAAAGAUACAAAAAAAAAAAAAAGACAGACAUGGAGAAAUUUUUUUCCCAAAAUAUUAUUCUACCUUUGGCUGGUGGGGGCUCCACCUUUUUAGGAACGGGAACAGCAACCACUUCUUCUGGGACUGGUUUCUUAGGUGGCUCAGGGACUUUAAAAAAGAGUGCCAUUUUUGAGAAAUCUUGUGUUUUUACAACAAGGUAUAUGUGGUUGCAAGGUAGUGUUAAAAUAAAGUGUAGACAUUUCUCUUUUAUGACAAACGAAUGCAAGAAACUUCUACGUGAGAAACGAGUGUGAAGAGAACUGAAAAUGUGGCUGUUAGUCACCUUCGACUGGACUGCAGGAGCCUCCACUUUCCUAGAAGGUGCCCCAGAUGCCAGUUUUAGAAACUUCACAUGUACAAAGCGACUGCAUUAUAAUUGCAUUAGAUUAUCUUAAAUAGUUUUUGUAUCCUAAAUAUGUAACGAUUUGGGGAGGGGGUGUGGGGGAACGGGAGCCCUAAUUUGUAGCAGCUGCCAUUUUCCAAUUUCUGUGAUGGUGUAAACACUCCCUCCCUGGCUACUGAGCAUGGUGACAUUGUCAUGGAGUUGGGAAGAGAUGUGCAGUUGCCCACCGCAAUCCAGUACUUCGACUACGUAGGCACAAUAGAUGGAAACAACCUCAGAGACAGAGAUAAUAAUAAUAAAGUGCAGUAAAAGUGGAAGCAGAGAGUUUUAACUAUGAUCAUGGUUUUUAAUAUAAUUUGUUUAAUUGUAAGUUCAUAUAGUUUAACUUUCAGUCAUGGAGGUAUUGCACACUGGGUCUCAGCAUCCCUGAAACUUAACCAUCAGCUCUGGGGGAGUUGGCAUGAGCUGGCUCCAGGACAUCAAAUCUCUAUUUCCAAAAAGCUGGUUGCUAGAUUGUAAGGUCUCUGAAGCAGAGAACAGAGUUUCCAUUUAUGCUCAUUCCUCUCUCUUGUGUGCUCCUCAUGGUCUCCCAUCCCCCUGUAAUGUCCAUUGUACACAGUGGCCAUAGGUCUGCUGACCGUGUGACCAAAUCCAUUAUGCAAUAUUAACAUGUCCGGAUGCUUGGAUCUGCUAUGGAAAUUUUAAAAGAUUUUAAACUUAGAAGGAAUCACUAAUACCUUUAGGUGGAGGCUCAGUCUUUUUGGAAACAGCAACAUGAAUUUUCUCUUCAGUAACAGUUUUCCUUUGUACCUCAGGGACUUUAAAAAAAUGUACAUUUUAAUUACUGGUGUGCCAUAUUGUGGGUGGUAAUUAUAAUUUACAAAGAAUAUUGAAAUACGAAUUAAAACAGAGACAAUGUGCAAUGAAAAGAUGACAGAGAGCUACAAGGAGACAGAGAUGCCUAUAGAAUCACAAGUUAGGUAAGAAGAAGAGGGAUAAAAAUUCAUCUGACGCCCUUCCAUCUGAGCCCCCAAAUUCAAAUGUGCCUUAUACCUGUGACUGACACUUCCUCCUCUGUGUGAGAAGCAAAGAACAUCUCUUCUUCUGAAAUAACCAUCUUCUUUGUAUGCACAGCUGGGACUUCAAAGAGAGCAUUUCACAUUUAGUAUUUGUUUUUCUAAGACAAGAUACCAGAUCAAAUACAUAGAUUGCAUACUCUGUGUAAGUCUUUAGAUACAGAAUGAAUGGGUUAAUAUGAGAGCUUGAGAAUAAAGUCAGUAUUGACAAGAAAACAAAUCAUGUUUUGAUAUAUAAGGACAAACAACCCAUGCAGCCUUUACCAAACAUUAUUAAGUGGGAAUCAAAUAGACACAACUUCUUCACACAUAAUGUGGUGCUUUUCCAAAUCCAUUACGGUUUCUUCACAUGAACAAGAGGAUGGGGAAUAUUAUAUGCAAUGGGAUGCAUUGCAUAGUAAAGUUAGAAGACUAUUCAUUAAACAAAGCCUUCCUUAGAUUAAAAAAAAUUAUGUAAUUUUAAAGCAAAAUUAGAAACAAAGGGAAUGUUAUUAUGUCCUUAAGUUAUGCAUUAUGUGCAACUCGACAUAAAAUAUAUACUGUAUAAACAUGUCUUCAUGUUGGUAGUUUCAGGUUUGUGAAUUGUUUAGUAAUAUAUGUACACAUAUCCAUAGACAUAAAUAAAAAUGUUUAAAACUUGUAGCUGGAAAGACAAAGAUGUAUACCUUUCACUUCAAUUACUUCUUCCUGCACUGGAGUCCGAGAAGGUUUU
Molecule: long non-coding RNA, 20154 nt
Filed under: Lynx pardinus (Iberian lynx)
Lineage: Eukaryota; Metazoa; Chordata; Mammalia; Carnivora; Felidae
Source: RNAcentral